This 72-nucleotide transfer RNA is filed under the name Gelidiella acerosa. Its description in RNAcentral is "tRNA-Glu". It matches the Rfam family "tRNA". Rfam says of the family: Transfer RNA (tRNA) molecules are approximately 80 nucleotides in length. Their secondary structure includes four short double-helical elements and three loops (D, anti-codon, and T loops). Lineage: Eukaryota; Rhodophyta; Florideophyceae; Gelidiales; Gelidiellaceae. The record is from RNAcentral.
GCUCCUGUCGUUUAAGGGUUAAGGCAAUACUUUUUCGUAGUAUAAAUGUGGGUUCGAAUCCCACCAGGAGUA